UAAUGUCAGUAAUAGGCACUGCUUCCGGU
This 29-nucleotide small RNA is filed under the name Bombyx mori (domestic silkworm). Its description in RNAcentral is "ovarian small RNA-19834". The record is from RNAcentral. Lineage: Eukaryota; Metazoa; Arthropoda; Insecta; Lepidoptera; Bombycidae.